RNAcentral lists this transfer RNA (73 nucleotides) under Bos taurus (domestic cattle). It matches the Rfam family "tRNA". From Rfam's summary of the family: Transfer RNA (tRNA) molecules are approximately 80 nucleotides in length. Their secondary structure includes four short double-helical elements and three loops (D, anti-codon, and T loops). The record is from Rfam by way of RNAcentral. Lineage: Eukaryota; Metazoa; Chordata; Mammalia; Artiodactyla; Bovidae. RNAcentral also lists the same sequence under 3 other names.
UUCCUGGUGGUACAGUGGAUAAGACUCUGUACUCUUAAUGCAGGGGGCCCAGGUUCAAUCCCUAGUCAGGGAG